CCAGGGGGCGGCUAGUAGCGUGUGCCACCAUGGAAAUAUGUACAGACAUAAAGAAGACGCCCUCAAGAAAGACUACCCCAUCCCCUGCCUCCCGCUGUGCCCCACCCAGACACCACGGCCCAGCAGUGACGCCAUUCCACCUGCUACACGACGCUGGCUGACGCACUCCAGACGUGGCAGCAACAGGAGGUGGAGGGCAGGAGCAAGAGUCGGAUGGAUGGCGAAGGAAGGCAUGAUGGCGGAGCUGGUGGCUUUGGAGGGUGUUCGUGCAGGGUACCUCGGCAGGGUCUAGAUUAGAGCAAAUGGAUGAUGAGAGACUAGUAAGGUGUUUGUGUGGAAUAUUAGGAGUAGCAGUUGGGGGAACAAGUGUGUUAGGAUGGUAAUAAAGAAUGGCUUGGAAACUAGUUGUUGGGCUUUUGAGGGGUUGAGUGAAGCCUUGUUGAGAGUGAUGGAAGUAGGAUUGUCAGAAAUGGAGAGGGCUUACAAUGUUAUGUAACUAAGUGGACAAGUGAGAUAGACAGAGUGAUCAAGCACAUGGGACUGAGUGAGCCAAGUGUGGAAAUUCUGGGAUGGAGUGAGCCAGGUGUGGAAAAGUGUGGAAAUUGUGGGAUUGAGUGAGCCAUGUGUGGAAAUUGUGUAGAAAAGUGUGGAAAUAGUGUGGAGAAGGUGUGGAAAAAAUGUGGAAAUUGUGGGGUUGAGUGAGCCAGGUGUGGACAAGUGAGAUAGACAGAGCGAUGAAGCAUGUGGGGUUGAGUGAGCCAGGUGUGUGCGUCACUUGGGGAUGACUGUGAGCUAACCUGGGACCAAUGGUUGAUGACGCUCACUGAUGGAAUUAGAAGCUGCAUGAAUUGUUUAUGUAGAUUUUAGAAGCUGUCUCAAUUGUUUGUGUAGAUCUGAAGCACUUACUUUGAAUUGAAGGCUUGGACCAUGUAAUAUCUUUGUAAUUCUUCUGUAUCUCUGUCAUAAGUUCCUUAGAUAACUCACUACUGUUUUUGUCUCUAUAUAAUAAUAUGUACAUUUACUCAAACUGCAUUUCCUUUCAGUGUGCAGGUUGGCAGUAAACCUCCCUGAAGGUUCCAGAACUGCUCACCAAGUGUCCAGCCCAGCCUGUCACAAGACUAUGUGACAGUGGACCUUCCACUCAUACUGAAAACAGCUGUGCACUGCCACUCACAGGAAGUGGUGACCACUCUAGAUUGAGUUGUCUUGAAGCUGAGAUGAGUUGGUCGGGUAAUGAGUGACUUGCAUCAAGUGACCGUGAGGUGUUGGACGUGAUAUUGUGUUAUUGCAAGUGUAACCAGUAAUAAGUAAGUCCUUUCUUUAAAACUCUUCAUACAUGGAUUUGUCAUACAUGGAUGGAUAAGGCCCUUGUACAGAGUCAGCAGCUGAGGGGGGGGUGAGAAAAACUGGCAGACAUCUCAGAAUACCUAACUUCAUAGAAGCUGUUUUAGCUAGAGAUGAGAUAUGAAAUUUCCAGUUUCCAGACUGAGGAGGUUCAGUGUAGAAGAGGGGAUACUUGUUGUCUGGAAGGUUGUGUUGAGUUGAUAGAUGGAGGAAUUGAGUUUUUGAGGCAUUGAACAAUACCAGGUUUGCUCUGCCCCAGUCAGAAAUUUUAGAGAGAGAUUACAAGUGAGGUAUUCUGUGGCUUCCCUGUGUGAACUGUUUGCCUCCCGAAAGGUUGGAUGUCCAUGAAAAGACCUGGAAAAAUGCUGGUUAGUAUAAUCAGUGUAGGAUUGGAUAGGACAACAAGUUUGGUUUAGAAGAUCAUUGAUGAAUAUAGGAAGAGAGUGAAUGACGAUAGAAUCCUGAGGAACACCACUGUUAACAGAUUUAGGAGAAGAACAGUGACCGUCUACCACAGCAGCAAUAGAAUGGUCAGAAAGGAAACUUGAGAUGAAGUUACACAGAGAAGGAAAGAAGCUGUAGGAGGGUAGUUUGGAAAUGCAAGCUUUGUGCCAGACUAUCAGAAGCUUUUCAUAUAUCCAAGGCAACAGCAAAAGUUUCACCAAAAUCUCUAAAAGAGUAUGAUGACCAAGACUCAGUAAGGAAAGCCAGAUGACCAGUGGAGCAGCCUUGAUGGACCCUAAUACUGGCGAUCAGAUACAAGUAGGCUGUGAAGUAAUAGAUGUUUAAGAAUAUUCCUAUUAAGGGUAGAUUAAAAACUUUAGAUAGGCAGGAAAUUAAAGCAAUGGGACUGUUGUUUGAGAAAUUAAAACUACUACUACUGCUACUACUACUACUACUACUACUACUGCUACUACUACUGCUACUGCUACUACUACUACUGCUACUACUGGAUGGUAUAUCAGUUCACACAGCAAGAAGCCAAGGACCCACCGAGGCUGUCACUUGGAAGAGGUCAUUGUUGUUGCAUCCAGCAUCCCAGCCUGACUGCCUAGACAGGUCCCGCAGGUUGCUGAAUGGCAGAGAUGCAGGCUGCUCCACAGCAAGAUCAGCGUUCGACCGUUUCUCUACGGGCAAGCGACACCUCCUGGUGGGGGACUUCAAAUCUGCUGUCGCUGCCUUCAAGGUGUGUCUGUUGCUUAGGUGUGGAGGCAACAGAGUCCCUGGUGGAGCUGUGUGGGGAGCAGGCGCCCGAGUGUGGUGACGCGUACUGCCGCUGUGGCCGUGCAUUGCUGGAGCUGGCACGCAAGGAGGCAGGGGUGCUGGGGCCAGAUCUGGAUGGUGCCAGUAGUCAGGAGGGAAGCACAGGGGAAGAGGAGGACGAGGAGGAAGAGAGUUAAGAGUCACAAGAGGAGGAGGAAGGUGGAAAGAAAGAGGAAGGAGAGGAGGAGGAGGAGGAGGAGGAAGAUGGAGAAGGAAAGGAGAAAGAUAAGAAGGAAGGAAAUGCCGCAGAAGGAGAAGAGCAAUAAGAAAUUAGAAUUGACAGAGAAACCAGACAAGGGACUGCAUUUGAAGAAGCACAAGAACCAAGAAAUUACAUCAUUCAAUGAAAUGACAACAUAAUCUAAAGUACAGAUACCAAGGGGAAAUUGCUGGGUCAAGUGGCUACACUGACAUCUGAGGUUAGCAGGUUGGAGAGUGAGUGCAGCAGUCUUCAGGUUCAGCUAGACUGUGAGAGGGAUAAGUAUAACAAACUGCUGGGAGAAUCUCUUGCUCAUGAAAAGUUGUCUGAAGAUGUCAUAACUGAACCAAAAGGAGAAACAACAGGAUUGGGAGGAACUGAGCUUUAACAGAAGCUGCAACAACUGCAGGAGGCUCACAGGGUCCUGGAGAGCAGGUUAACUUGCAGCAUGAAGGAGGUGGCUGAGCUAAGUGACAGGAAGUAGCAGCUUGAGCAUGCUGUAGUGCAUGAGAAGACAGAGUCCAUCGGUGUGUGCAUGUUUUUUGCUCAUUUGAAUCAUCUGUAAAAGUGAAGUGGAGGAAGUGUUUACUGUUUACUGUAUGCCAUUUCCUUGGUCUUUUAAUGAAGAAUUUUAUCCUUCUUCAGGUGACUACAUCACCAUCUACCAGUUGCAGCGAGGAGUGAUGAAGUAACAAGCUCGAGAACGCGAGUUAGACCUUGCCAGCCUCCAUCAUGAAUGAGAGGAAAUGAAGCAAAACCACUCUGCAGGAUUUGAUAUCAAAGCUGGUGCAGGAAAAGGAAGCAGAUCAUGACCUUCAGCAGCUCGAGAAGAUAAGCAGCGUCCUUAAGAGUCCAGUUGCUAUCUUUAGCAGUGUUGGAACCAGUGAGUCUGAGACACCCACCACCAGUGGAAAGGUGGCUGACGAGCGCCUCAAGCACUCUGAAAAGGUGGAGCAACAACAAGAAACAGAAAAUUGCAUCCAUCAUUCUUUGCCUGAGGAGGGAAUUGAUGCUCUGUUGACCCUUCACACUGAUGUCCCUCAUGAGGAGGGGAGAAUAUGAAUCCUACAGAACUUGCCCAUAGGAAGACCAAAACUGUUACUGCUGCCACACUGCCACCACUUCCACUGACACCAAAAGCCCAACUGUGCAGAGAAUCCUGGACCUCCGCAAUGAAAUGGAGUCCACCAGUCACCUGGAGCACUUUAGCCUCCAAAAGUUCCAUCCGUGUCCAUUGUGUUUGGGUAAACUUAUCACUGUAUAAGGGGACAAGUAUCAGUGUAUGGUUACUAUAUACUCAUUUGUACUUAAAGAUGUCAUGUCACAUCAUUCUCUCUCUCUCUCUCUCUCUCUCUCUCUCUCUCUCUCUCUCUCUCUCUCUCUCUCUCUCUCUCUCUCUCUCUCUCUCUCUCUCUCUCUCUCUCUUUCUUUCUUUCUUUCUUUCUUUCUUUCUUUCUUUCUUUCUUUUGUUGCAUAUGUUACUGCUUUACAUUCCUCCCCACAGUAUUUUUUCAUCUACUUUAUGACUGCAGUAGUUUUAUCAUCCCAGUGUAUGCUGUAUCCACUCUGAAACUGUAAUUCACCAAUCAGCUCAAAUGUGUCUCUGUUUUGAUAAUCAUUAAUUUGUUUCAGCUACACAACCACUCUGAUAAGGGACAAAAUCUACUUCACCAGUCAUCUAUGUCAUACAGUCAUAUAUAUUCAUACAUAUGACAAAAUACUCUUCCUAAGACAUUUCUUAUUUUCUCUUCUCAAGUGACCUGUCCAUCUAUCUAAGGUACCACAUAACAUUUAAAACUUACAAUAUUGUGUUUAAUUCAUGAACACUUUUUUGUCUAUCUAUGGAGACUUGCGUAUAGACUUGAAAUGUAUUGGGAGUUUUCUUUAUCUCUCAUUCUAUACCUAACACCUGUUCCUAAGAAUCCCCAGGUGAUAGCCAUGGUGACUGGCUGGUCUCCUACUGAGUGGCUGGGGUUUUCCAAAAGUGAGGGUUGGUGUUCCAUACCAUACCAUGUGCCCUGUUUGUAUUCCUUCUUUGUCCUCUGUAUUAUAUUCUAUGUAAAGAUGGUGCUGGGGUGGGAUCUACUUCUUAUUCCCUAAAAGUGAUGAGGAGUGACACUGGGCAGCAUUGAUUUGCUCCUUAGAGAUGGCUGGGUUCCUGUGGAUGAGUGGGCCAUGCUGUGCUUUGUCAAGGAUGGUGUUUGGUAUUGUGAUGACUCUUGCCACAAUCAAGUGCCUCCCACAGAGUAGUGGAGUACCUAUGUAUGGUGUUGACCCAAGCUGUCCAGGUCUCAUCCAAUGCCUUAAUAUGAUUUAGAUGAUCAAAAUGGUUUAACUCACCAUUUAAUCAGCUGACUGAUUUGAAUGGAGAAGUAUGUAAUGUGUUGUAGCCUAACCAUCCCUGCCAGCAUGGUCAGAUUCUUGGUAGUAACCUGAAAUGCUCCUAGGUAGUGAGUAUCAUUGCACAUAAUGAUCUUUACUUUGUCAGUAAUUCAAUGAUACUGAAUAUUACUCUACUGGAUUUUGCUCAGCACUGCUUGGUAACUUUUGGCCAUAAUCCCAGGUCUGGAAUGAUAUGAAGCCAUGUUUUUACAUUCCAUAUGAGACAGGCAAGCACUAUGCUUUGCCUGACUGAUACCUGUACUAUACAUUUAUGACCCCAGGUAGUUCAUCACUCUCUCUCUCUCUCUCUUCUCUCUCUCUCUCUCUCUCUGUUUGGAAUUAUACUGUAUAUUAGGAAAUAUCAUUAAAGAGUGUGUGUGUAAAAAGUGUUUGCAUUAUUGUGCAUUUGAUGUUAUAGCCCCAGGUUCUUAAAGUUUUCUAGUUUCAUGAUUUAUAAAGAUUGCUAUUUUUAAUAAAGUUAUUGAAAUUGUUA
Molecule: RNA transcript, 5681 nt
Organism: Scylla paramamosain (green mud crab)
Lineage: Eukaryota; Metazoa; Arthropoda; Malacostraca; Decapoda; Portunidae
Gene name: E3 ubiquitin-protein ligase BRE1A-like
Exons: 11
Source: RefSeq, a predicted model, not a curated record